AAGAUCAUACUUCACAGGAUCAUUUCUGUAGUAUAUCUUCACAUCCUCUCUACUCUAUAGUUGAGUCGAUACAGCCACGAUGACGAGGAGUAAUCCUCUUCCCUGAGCGUGAGGAAGGCUGAAAUCUUGACUUUCGUCGAGAAUUCAGCCAUCGAUGAUCGUUCACUCUUUGGAUUUGAUUCAAAGAGCUUGGGAAGUGGAUAUUCUGAGUGGU
This is a small nucleolar RNA of Microplitis demolitor, 214 nucleotides long. RefSeq annotates it as small nucleolar RNA U3. The transcript has a single exon. The record is from RefSeq and is a predicted model, not a curated record. Lineage: Eukaryota; Metazoa; Arthropoda; Insecta; Hymenoptera; Braconidae.